GAUGAACGCUGGCGGCGUGCUUAACACAUGCAAGUCGAACGAUGAAGCCCAGCUUGCUGGGUGGAUUAGUGGCGAACGGGUGAGUAACACGUGAGUAACCUGCCCUUGACUCUGGGAUAAGCCUGGGAAACUGGGUCUAAUACUGGAUAUGACUUCUCAUCGCAUGGUGGGGGGUGGAAAGAUUUAUUGGUCUUGGAUGGACUCGCGGCCUAUCAGCUUGUUGGUGAGGUAAUGGCUCACCAAGGCGACGACGGGUAGCCGGCCUGAGAGGGUGACCGGCCACACUGGGACUGCGACACGGCCCAGACUCCUACGGGAGGCAGCAGUGGGGAAUAUUGCACAAUGGGCGCAAGCCUGAUGCAGCGACGCUGCGUGAGGGAUGACGGCCUUCGGGUUGUAAACCUCUUUCAGUAGGGAAGAAGCGAGAGUGACGGUACCUGCAGAAGAAGCGCCGGCUAACUACGUG
RNAcentral lists this ribosomal RNA (466 nucleotides) under uncultured bacterium. Its description in RNAcentral is "partial 16S ribosomal RNA". It matches the Rfam family "Bacterial small subunit ribosomal RNA", at positions 28 to 507 of the family's 1533-position model. The record is from RNAcentral.